UACGAAGGGGGCUAGCGUUGCUCGGAAUCACUGGGCGUAAAGCGCACGUAGGCGGAUUGCUAAGUCAGGGGUGAAAUCCUGGAGCUCAACUCCAGAACUGCCCUUGAUACUGGCGGUCUCGAGUCCGGGAGAGGUGAGUGGAACUGCGAGUGUAGAGGUGAAAUUCGUAGAUAUUCGCAAGAACACCAGUGGCGAAGGCGGCUCACUGGCCCGGUACUGACGCUCAGGUGCGAAAGCGUGGGGAGCAAACAGG
Molecule: ribosomal RNA, 253 nt
Filed under: uncultured bacterium
Lineage: Bacteria
Description: partial 16S ribosomal RNA
Rfam family: Bacterial small subunit ribosomal RNA
Source: RNAcentral